CAACCCACCCCCGCAUUUCCGCCCUGAGACUAGGAUCCCAGCGCCAGGGACCCAGACCCUGGGAUUGAUCGCACAGAGCCGUGAUCCGGAGAGUGCGCCGGGGAUGAGACGGAAUCUCGGGGCCACUCGAGAGCUUGGGGCAGGAACCAUGCAUCCAUUGUCCAUCGUGACUGCAUGUGGAGCAGCUAUUUGGCCUGGGAACAGCUGUAGAGAGCGGGGAGCGACUGGCUCGCCACUGGCGCGCCCUGGGGGAACCCGCCCAAGGUGCCCUCCUCCCCAGACUGCCCUCCCAGCCUCGAAGACGGCAAUCCAGCGCCCACUGCUCCCUGGACUCUGGGCAAGGCCAAGACUCAGGCCUGCUCCAGAUUUGAGAACCCAAACAACUCAGAGGGUGAGGAAAUUGACCUUGUGACAGCAAAGAAAAGGCAGAUUGGGUUUACAGAAGUCGAUCACCAUCAUGGUUCGAGUAGACCGUCUGAACCCCUGCAUGAAACACUUCCAUACCUCCAUCCACCAGCAACAACACAACUGCGCUGCCCAUAUUUCUCCAGAAAGCUGCUCCCAAGAAGAGGCUCCAGAGAGAGGUCUCCAAGAAGAGGUUCUGGAGGGAGAUGCUCCAGGGGAAACGGAAGAUGAGGAGGAUGAGGGGAUUGUGAGCCCCUCACCUAUAGAAAGCAAGGCUGCCCAGUGCUGCCAGUUCUGACACUGAGGAUGUGACCAAGAGGAAGGGCCACAGCUUCCUGCAGCACAAGAGGUGGAAUGACCUGCGCGUUCUCAGUUCUUGGCCCUGAGGGACCAGGUACCCACCUUGGCCAGCUGCUCUAAGGUCCCCACGGUAGUGAUCCUAAGCAAGGCCUUGGGAUACUUGCAAGACCUGGCGUGAACCGAGAAAAAGAUGUCUAUGGAGAAAACGCAGCUCCAACGCCAGCAACAGCAAUUGCAGAAAUGAAUUGCGUACCUCAGUGGC
Molecule: long non-coding RNA, 967 nt
Filed under: Homo sapiens (human)
Lineage: Eukaryota; Metazoa; Chordata; Mammalia; Primates; Hominidae
Description: non-protein coding lnc-ZXDA-2:1
Source: RNAcentral